Neodiprion fabricii is the source of this 2663-nucleotide RNA transcript. It is a transcript of the gene named solute carrier family 2, facilitated glucose transporter member 4-like, with no coding region annotated. NCBI's taxonomy places the organism in Eukaryota, Metazoa, Arthropoda, Insecta, Hymenoptera, Diprionidae. The record is from RefSeq and is a predicted model, not a curated record. The transcript has 9 exons.
CACACAAUUACGUAUAUUCGAUAUUUUCAACGCACAUAAAUCAACCUAAUUGCAUAACUGGUCAACUCAGUUAUGAGGGUUACACGUUACUAACGUUAACCACGCACGGUAUUCAUGACUAUAAAAAUGAAUCAACAAGAACACUCCUUUCAGUCAUCGCAGGAGAUGCGACGGAUAUUGUCCAGUGUACAUAACCUUAAUUUAUUUUUUAACCAUAAGUAUAUUGUAUUCUUAGGGAUUCUUAGGUGAUUCUAUAAUUCGUUUAAUCAUUUUAUGAGCUUUUCAUCGUGACACGUGACUAUAAGUACAGUAAUGGGUAAAAAAAUGUUCAAAAAUGACGCGACGGAAAUUCGCCUCGAAAAACCAGCCACGAUAACAGCGAAACAUCUUGAACAGAGAGCAAAAAAUGAGCCCAACAAUGAACCGUACCCUGGAGGAUGGAGUCCCCUUUUGGUACUGGCCGGUAUUACUUGCUGCUUGGGCUCAGCCCUACCAGCUGGUUAUAAUAUUGGUGUCAUAAAUAACCCUGCUGAUCUAAUGAAGAGAUUUUGUAAUGAAACAAUCGAAGAACGUUUUAAUGUCCAAUUAACAGAAGAGACGUUAAAUAUAGUUUGGGCAACUGUUGUUUCAAUUUUUCUGGUCGGAGGAGUAACAGGUUCCCUAUCUGCAGGUUGGUUAGCCGAUAAACUGGGCAGAAGAGGUGCUCUCGCAAUUGGCAACACUUGCGGAAUAAUCGGAGCAAUAUUUUUCAUAUCUGCUAAAGCUGCGAAUUCAGUAGAAAUCCUGAUGGUGGGCCGAUUAUUUGUAGGACUUUCCGGAGGUCUGGCAACAAGCCUUGUGCCGAUGUACAUGACAGAAACAGCACCUUUAAAAUUGAGAGGAGCAGUGGGAGUACUUUGCCAAUUGGGCAUUACCUGUGGCGUGUUGUUGGGUCAAAUUGUAAGUCUCGAUUCUACUUUGGGAACUGAAAACUCUUGGCCCAUCAUGCUAGUUGCAUUUUCACCUCUUUGUUUAACUUCUUUGGGACUGUUAUUUGUGUUGCCAGAGAGUCCGAAAUAUUUAUAUGUCAUCAGAAGUCAAGGAGGAAAAGCUAUUAAGGAACUCAGCCGUCUGCGGAAUAUGGACGUAUCUCUACUGAGUAACGAAGUAGCGAGUUUAGACCAAGAAGCAGUUACCGCCGAAGCAACGGAGAUUUGGACAAUUGGUCGCGUGGUGAAAGAUCCUUCUCUUAGACUACCACUACUACUUGUUUGCACUAUGCAAGCUGGGCAACAAUUGAGUGGUGUCAAUGCAGUAUUCUUCUAUUCGAAUAAAAUAUUUCAAGAAGCCAAAUUAGGAGAAACUGGUGCCCAAUAUGCGACUCUUGGAACCGGUGUAAUCAACGUAGUCAUGGCGUUGAUAGCAGUGCCAGUAAUGUCUCUCUUUGGAAGAAGAACAUUAUUCCUCCUUAGCUGUUACUUGGCUGUUGGCUGUUUGACUUUCCUCUGUUUUGCAAUUAUAUUUAUAGAAGCUGCUGCCGUUAUGCCUUGGCUUUGCAUGAUAGCUGUCUUGGCUUAUGUCUUAUUCUACGGUCUGGGUUUGGGACCUAUACCAUAUUUCAUAGGCUCAGAGCUAUUCGACGUUGGACCACGACCUGCAGCCAUGGCUCUAGGAGGUGUUUCUAACUGGGGUGCUAACUUCAUUGUCGGAAUGGGAUUUGAAUCUGUGAUGACCAUAAUUGGACCGUACAGUUUUCUCAUAUUUUCUGGCUGCACUUUAUUACUUGCACUUUUCAACAGGGUUUACUUACCAGAGACACGUGGUAGAGAUACUAUGGAAAUAUCAGCGACUAUGACCAAAGGAUUUAAAUCAAGACCUAAUUACACACCAGUUGCUCAAUGGCGGCCCUAAUUUCAAUGGAUCUUUGAAUGGAGGAACUAUUCUAUGUCAAUAUGGCUCUACCUCAUAACGAAGAGGUAGCAUCCAACAAAAGUAUAAGAGUAAUGUACUUAACGAGCCUAGUACAAAGUAGCAGGUUUAUUACGAACGAGCUGGCAAAACCUUCAACUGUCAGACUGUAUAAUGAUCAACAUUUAACUUUGGGAUUUUUUUGUAAUAUGAAAAUACAAAAAGAAGUCUGAGAUAAUUAUUUUUGAUUUCAACCAGUCCGAUGCCAAACUAAACGACGUUAGCUGUGUUGCAGAUCCUACAAAAAGUCUGGGAACACCAGCGUUCCACCCACGAUAAAAACUUUUGAAUCCCCCUUCUCUCCACAAAUUUCGGAACGCAGCCCACGUGCUAACGUGACCGUGCUGGUGGCCGACUGCUAUAGAAGAAGCAGCUUGAGCUUGUAAUUGUGUUUUGACCUAAAAAGAUCAGAUAAUAUAAACUCAAAAUUGCUGCUAAUAUUUGUAAUUUGGCAAGAUAAGCUUUCGGAUGAAUCGACUGAAGGAAACAUCUUUGCAAAGAUCAAUUUGAAAACAGAAUAUUGCUCAUUUACCAUGUACAAAGGACUACCAAUAAUAGAUGCCACAGCACCUGCAGUACCAGAUAUUACUGCGGUCUUUACAAUACUGGUUUUUCCAUACUUGUUCAAAGUCCAUUUGUGCUUUUUUGCAAUAUUGUAAGUUCCUAGCCGGACUCCAUUUAGAACCAGUUGGAAUCCAAUAGCUGGUAUAAAGCCG